RNAcentral lists this ribosomal RNA (537 nucleotides) under Golovinomyces ambrosiae. RNAcentral's name for it is "partial large subunit ribosomal RNA". It matches the Rfam family "Eukaryotic large subunit ribosomal RNA", at positions 121 to 671 of the family's 3401-position model. Lineage: Eukaryota; Fungi; Ascomycota; Leotiomycetes; Helotiales; Erysiphaceae. The record is from RNAcentral.
UCUGGCUCUUCCGGAGUCCGAGUUGUAAUUUGUAGAAGAUGCUUUGGGAGGUAGGGCCGGCCUAAGUUCCUUGGAACAGGACAUCAGAGAGGGUGAGAAUCCCGUAUGUGGCCGUGGCCUACGCCCGUGUAAAGCUCUUUCGACGAGUCGAGUUGUUUGGGAAUGCAGCUCAAAAUGGGUGGUAAAUUUCAUCUAAAGCUAAAUAUUGGCCAGAGACCGAUAGCGCACAAGUAGAGUGAUCGAAAGAUGAAAAGCACUUUGGAAAGAGAGUUAAACAGUACGUGAAAUUGUUGAAAGGGAAGCGCUUGCAACCAGACUUGGGCGUCGUCGAUCAUCCGGGGUUCUCCUCGGUGCACUCGACGAGGCACAGGCCAGCAUCGGUUUGGAUGGUUGGAGAAAGGCCCUAGGAACGUAGCUCUCUUCGGGGAGUGUUAUAGCCUAGAGCGCAAUGCAGCCCAUCCGGACCGAGGACCGCGCCUUUGGCUAGGAUGCUGGCGUAAUGGUUGCAAGCGACCCGUCUUGAAACACGGACCAAGG